AUGAACGCUGGCGGCGUGCCUAAUACAUGCAAGUCGAGCGCACGGACGAGAAGCUUGCUUCUCUGAUGUUAGCGGCGGACGGGUGAGUAACACGUGGAUAACCUACCUAUAAGACUGGGAUAACUUCGGGAAACCGGAGCUAAUACCGGAUAAUAUUUUGAACCGCAUGGUUCAAAAGUGAAAGACGGUCUUGCUGUCACUUAUAGAUGGAUCCGCGCUGCAUUAGCUAGUUGGUAAGGUAACGGCUUACCAAGGCAACGAUGCAUAGCCGACCUGAGAGGGUGAUCGGCCACACUGGAACUGAGACACGGCCCAGACUCCUACGGGAGGCAGCAGUAGGGAAUCUUCCGCAAUGGGCGAAAGUCUGACGGAGCAACGCCGCGUGAGUGAUGAAGGUCUUCGGAUCGUAAAACUCUGUUAUUAGGGAAGAACAUAUGUGUAAGUAACUGUGCACAUCUUGACGGUACCUAAUCAGAAAGCCACGGCUAACUACGUG
Molecule: ribosomal RNA, 496 nt
Filed under: uncultured bacterium
Lineage: Bacteria
Description: partial 16S ribosomal RNA
Rfam family: Bacterial small subunit ribosomal RNA
Source: RNAcentral